UACAGAGGGGGCAAGCGUUGUUCGGAAUUACUGGGCGUAAAGGGCGCGUAGGCGGCCUGUUAAGUCGAACGUGAAAUCCCCGGGCUCAACCCGGGAACUGCGUCCGAUACUGGCAGGCUUGAAUCCGGGAGAGGGAUGCGGAAUUCCAGGUGUAGCGGUGAAAUGCGUAGAUAUCUGGAGGAACACCGGUGGCGAAGGCGGCAUCCUGGACCGGCAUUGACGCUGAGGCGCGAAAGCGUGGGGAGCAAACAGG
This 253-nucleotide ribosomal RNA is filed under the name uncultured bacterium. Its description in RNAcentral is "partial 16S ribosomal RNA". It matches the Rfam family "Bacterial small subunit ribosomal RNA", at positions 524 to 776 of the family's 1533-position model. The record is from RNAcentral.